CCAAUCUAUACAGACGGUGAGAUGGAUGAUAUCACAGUUGAGGUAGCCAUGCAGUACACAACGGGUUACCAUGAAAAUGUCAUGAGUUUCGCCAAUAAUAUUCAUACACAUGAAGGUGGAACGCAUGAACAAGGUUUCCGUACAGCCUUGACACGUGUUAUCAACGAUUAUGCUCGUAAAAAUAAGUUACUGAAAGACAAUGAAGACAAUCUAACAGGGGAAGAUGUUCGCGAAGGCUUAACUGCAGUUAUCUCAGUUAAACACCCAAAUCCACAGUUUGAAGGACAAACGAAGACCAAAUUGGGAAAUAGCGAAGUGGUCAAGAUUACCAAUCGCCUCUUCAGUGAAGCCUUCUCCGAUUUCCUCAUGGAAAAUCCACAGAUUGCCAAACGUAUCGUAGAAAAAGGAAUUUUGGCUGCCAAGGCUCGUGUGGCUGCCAAGCGUGCGCGUGAAGUCACACGUAAAAAAUCUGGUUUGGAAAUUUCCAACCUUCCAGGGAAACUAGCAGACUGUUCUUCUAAUAACCCUGCUGAAACAGAACUCUUCAUCGUCGAAGGAGACUCAGCUGGUGGAUCAGCCAAAUCUGGUCGUAACCGUGAGUUUCAGGCUAUCCUUCCAAUUCGCGGUAAGAUUUUGAACGUUGAAAAAGCAAGUAUGGAUAAGAUUCUAGCUAACGAAGAAAUUCGUAGUCUUUUCACAGCCAUGGGAACAGGAUUUGGCGCAGAAUUUGAUGUUUCGAAAGCCCGUUACCAAAAACUCGUUUUGAUGACCGAUGCCGAUGUCGAUGGAGCCCACAUUCGUACCCUUCUUUUAACCUUGAUUUAUCGUUAUAUGAAACCAAUCCUAGAAGCUGGCUAUGUUUAUAUUGCCCAACCACCAAUCUAUGGUGUCAAGGUUGGAAGCGAGAUUAAAGAAUAUAUCCAGCCGGGUGCAGAUCAAGAAAUCAAACUCCAAGAAGCUUUAGCCCGUUAUAGUGAAGGUCGUACCAAACCGACUAUUCAGCGUUAUAAGGGGCUAGGUGAAAUGAACGAUCAUCAGCUGUGGGAAACAACCAUGGAUCCCGAACAUCGCUUGAUGGCUAGAGUUUCUGUAGAUGAUGCUGCAGAAGCAGAUAAAAUCUUUGAUAUGUUGAUGGGGGAUCGAGUAGAGCCUCGUCGUGAGUUUAUCGAAGAAAAUGCUGUCUAUAGUACACUUGAUGUCUAAAAAAUAGGGAGAAGUAGUUCCCUUGGUCUAAAAAAUAUGAUAUAAUCGUUACGAUUGUUUCAAGUAAAAAAGGAGUUUGAUAUGUCUAAUGGACAACUAAUUUAUUUAAUGGUUGCAAUUGCAGUCAUUUUAGUUCUGGCUUAUGUAGUGGCAAUCUUUCUACGUAAGCGAAACGAGGGGAGAUUAGAGGCGCUAGAAGAAAGAAAAGAAGAACUAUACAAUCUUCCAGUAAAUGAUGAAGUAGAAGCUGUAAAAAAUAUGCACUUGAUUGGACAAAGUCAAGUGGCUUUCCGUGAAUGGAAUCAAAAAUGGGUCGAUUUAUCUCUCAACUCUUUUGCCGAUAUUGAAAAUAAUCUCUUUGAAGCAGAAGGUUAUAACCAUUCAUUUCGUUUUCUCAAGGCCAGUCAUCAAAUUGACCAAAUUGAGAGUCAAAUUACUUUGAUUGAAGAAGAUAUUGCGGCAAUUCGCAAUGCUUUGGCAGACUUAGAGAAGCAAGAAUCUAAAAAUAGUGGUCGUGUUCUUCAUGCUUUGGAUUUAUUUGAGGAACUUCAGCAUAGAGUUGCUGAAAAUUCAGAACAGUAUGGUCAAGCCUUGGAUGAAAUUGAAAAACAAUUAGAAAAUAUCCAAUCUGAAUUUUCACAAUUUGUAACCUUGAAUUCAUCGGGUGACCCUGUGGAAGCUGCAGUGAUUUUGGAUAAUACAGAAAAUCACAUUUUGGCCUUAAGUCAUAUUGUGGAUCGUGUUCCAGCCUUGGUUACGACGCUUUCUACAGAAUUGCCAGAUCAAUUACAGGAUUUGGAAUCCGGUUAUCGUAAACUAAUUGAUGCUAAUUAUCAUUUUGUUGAAACGGAUAUUGAAGCGCGUUUCCACUUGCUUUAUGAAGCAUUCAAGAAAAACCAAGAGAAUAUUCGUCAGUUGGAAUUGGAUAAUGCCGAAUAUGAGAAUGGACAGGCACAAGAGGAAAUCAAUGCCUUGUAUGAUAUUUUUACUCGAGAAAUUGCUGCUCAGAAAGUAGUGGAAAAUCUACUUGCAACUCUUCCAACUUACCUUCAACAUAUGAAAGAGAAUAAUACUUUAUUGGGAGAAGAUAUUGCACGUUUGAACAAGACCUAUUUACUUCCUGAGACAGCUGCAAGCCAUGUUCGUCGUAUUCAGACAGAAUUAGAGAGUUUUGAGGCAGCUAUUGUUGAGGUAACUUCAAAUCAAGAAGAACCAACCCAAGCUUAUUCAGUUCUUGAAGAAAAUCUUGAGGAUUUACAAACUCAACUAAAAGAUAUUGAAGAUGAGCAAAUUUCAGUUAGUGAGCGCCUGACACAAAUUGAGAAAGAUGAUAUUAAUGCACGUCAAAAGGCCAAUGUUUAUGUCAAUCGUCUCCAUACUAUCAAGCGAUACAUGGAAAAACGCAAUCUGCCAGGUAUUCCACAAACUUUCUUGAAGUUAUUCUUUACGGCAAGCAAUAAUACCGAGGAUUUAAUGGUUGAGUUAGAACAAAAAAUGAUUAACAUUGAAUCUGUUACCCGAGUUCUUGAAAUUGCAACGAAUGAUAUGGAAGCUUUAGAAACGGAAACUUAUAAUAUUGUACAAUAUGCAACUUUGACAGAGCAACUCUUGCAAUAUUCUAACCGCUAUCGCUCAUUUGAUGAACGCAUUCAAGAAGCAUUUAACGAAGCUUUAGAUAUUUUUGAAAAAGAAUUUGAUUAUCACGCUUCAUUUGACAAGAUUUCUCAAGCAUUGGAAGUGGCAGAGCCUGGUGUAACCAAUCGCUUUGUUACCUCAUAUGAGAAAACACGUGAAACGAUUCGUUUUUAAUAAAAGAAAAAGAUUUUAUUGUGUGAGGAGCAGAAUCAAAUCUUUUUCUAUAGUUGUGGGGAGAUUUACUUCAUUUUCUCCUGAGAUUGAGUUUUUGCCCAGCCGAUUUAUCCACCACCUCAAAACAGUGUUUUAUACUCUUCGAAAAUCUCUUCAAAUCACGUCAGCGUCGCCUUACCGUACUCAAGUACAGCCUGAGGCUAGCUUCUUAGUUUGCUUUUUGAUUUUCAUUUAGUAUUAAAGUGAUUUCGUCAGUCUUAUCUGCAGCUUCAAAUCUGUACUUUGAGUAACUUGGUAACCGUCCAAUAAUGAAGUCUAUUGAAAAAUCUCCAGACUAGAGAACUCACGGAUAGUUCCUAAUCUGGAGAUUUCUUAUUUGCACUUUUCUUGUACAACUUUAGUCUACGGUAAAUAGGCCUCUAAAACCUCUUUGUUUACGAGAGUUUUCUCGUUUGGAAGACAUUCUAGAAGAUAGGAUAGAUAUUUCUCGCUAUUUAUACCAGACUAAAAUAAAAAAGCACUAUAUAAUAGUAAUAUGAAAUCAACUAAAGAAGAAAUCCAAACCAUCAAAACACUUUUAAAAGACUCUCGUACAGCUAAAUAUCAUAAACACCUUCAAAUCGUUCUAUAGUAAAAUGAAAUAAGAACAGUACAAAUCGAUUAGGACAGUCAAAUUGAUUUCUAACAAUGUUUUAGAAGUAGAGGUGUACUAUUCUAGUUUCAAUUUAUUAUAUUUCGUCUGAUGGGCAAAUCUUAUAAAGAGAUUAUAGAACUUUUAGACUGUAAUCAAACAAUGAUUUGGCGAAAUGUAAAAAAAUAUGAGGAGUUCGGACUCGACUCUCUCCUUCAAGAAACACGUGGUGGUCGUAACCAUGCAUAUAUGACGGUUGGGGAAGAGAAAGCCUUUCUUGCCCGUCAUUUGAAGGCUGCAGAGGCAGGAGAAUUUGUUACAAUUGAUGCCUUAUUUCAGGCUUAUAAAAAGGAGUUAGGUCGUUCCUACACACGUGAUGCCUUCUAUCAACUGUUGAAGCNGUGACGUCACACUGCCAAGAAAAGCUUCUAGCGUUUAAACAUACUCUACCCGUACCGCAAACCGACACAGGUAGUCGAGGCGAGUAGCCUCAGGUGAGCGAGAGAACUCUCGUUAAGGAACUCGGCAAAAUGACCCCGUAACUUCGGGAGAAGGGGUGCUGACUUUAAGUCAGCCGCAGUGAAUAGGCCCAAGCAACUGUUUAUCAAAAACACAGCUCUCUGCUAAAUCGUAAGAUGAUGUAUAGGGGGUGACGCCUGCCCGGUGCUGGAAGGUUAAGAGGAGUGCUUAGCGUAAGCGAAGGUAUGAAUUGAAGCCCCAGUAAACGGCGGCCGUAACUAUAACGGUCCUAAGGUAGCGAAAUUCCUUGUCGGGUAAGUUCCGACCCGCACGAAAGGCGUAAUGAUUUGGGCACUGUCUCAACGAGAGACUCGGUGAAAUUUUAGUACCUGUGAAGAUGCAGGUUACCCGCGACAGGACGGAAAGACCCCAUGGAGCUUUACUGCAGUUUGAUAUUGAGUGUCUGUACCACAUGUACAGGAUAGGUAGGAGUCUAAGAGAUCGGGACGCCAGUUUCGAAGGAGACGCUGUUGGGAUACUACCCUUGUGUUAUGGCCACUCUAACCCAGAUAGGUGAUCCCUAUCGGAGACAGUGUCUGACGGGCAGUUUGACUGGGGCGGUCGCCUCCUAAAAGGUAACGGAGGCGCCCAAAGGUUCCCUCAGAAUGGUUGGAAAUCAUUCGCAGAGUGUAAAGGUAUAAGGGAGCUUGACUGCGAGAGCUACAACUCGAGCAGGGACGAAAGUCGGGCUUAGUGAUCCGGUGGUUCCGUAUGGAAGGGCCAUCGCUCAACGGAUAAAAGCUACCCUGGGGAUAACAGGCUUAUCUCCCCCAAGAGUUCACAUCGACGGGGAGGUUUGGCACCUCGAUGUCGGCUCGUCGCAUCCUGGGGCUGUAGUCGGUCCCAAGGGUUGGGCUGUUCGCCCAUUAAAGCGGCACGCGAGCUGGGUUCAGAACGUCGUGAGACAGUUCGGUCCCUAUCCGUCGCGGGCGUAGGAAAUUUGAGAGGAUCUGCUCCUAGUACGAGAGGACCAGAGUGGACUUACCGCUGGUGUACCAGUUGUCUUGCCAAAGGCAUCGCUGGGUAGCUAUGUAGGGAAGGGAUAAACGCUGAAAGCAUCUAAGUGUGAAACCCACCUCAAGAUGAGAUUUCCCAUGAUUAUAUAUCAGUAAGAGCCCUGAGAGAUGAUCAGGUAGAUAGGUUAGAAGUGGAAGUGUGGCGACACAUGUAGCGGACUAAUACUAAUAGCUCGAGGACUUAUCCAA
This 5367-nucleotide ribosomal RNA is filed under the name Streptococcus pneumoniae. RNAcentral's name for it is "23S ribosomal RNA". The stretch from base 3820 to 5367 matches the Rfam family "Bacterial large subunit ribosomal RNA". Lineage: Bacteria; Bacillati; Bacillota; Bacilli; Lactobacillales; Streptococcaceae. The record is from RNAcentral.